This 103-nucleotide microRNA precursor is filed under the name Marmota monax (woodchuck). Lineage: Eukaryota; Metazoa; Chordata; Mammalia; Rodentia; Sciuridae. The record is from RNAcentral.
AGCACAACAACUGGCUUAUGUGAUAAGUGCAUCUUUAGUUUUUAAAGAAACUGCCAAACUCUUUUCUAGAGUAGCUGUACCAUUUUACAUUCCUAUCAUCAAU